ACUCCUACGGGAGGCAGCAGUGGGGAAUAUUGGACAAUGGGCGAAAGCCUGAUCCAGCCAUGCCGCGUGAGUGAUGAAGGUCUUCGGAUCGUAAAGCUCUGUGGGGGAGAAGAAGAAAGUCGGUGAAGAGCCGGCCCUGACGGUAUCCCCUUAGCAAGCACCGGCUAACUCCGUGCCAGCAGCCGCGGUAAU
Molecule: ribosomal RNA, 192 nt
Filed under: uncultured bacterium
Lineage: Bacteria
Description: partial 16S ribosomal RNA
Rfam family: Bacterial small subunit ribosomal RNA
Source: RNAcentral